RNAcentral lists this unclassified non-coding RNA (6838 nucleotides) under Leishmania donovani. Its description in RNAcentral is "gene:LdHU3.20.1150(CDS-product:transmembrane_prot ein_conserved)". Lineage: Eukaryota; Euglenozoa; Kinetoplastea; Trypanosomatida; Trypanosomatidae. The record is from RNAcentral.
UCCCUUCAGCAGGGAGGAGCGGUGGCGCAUCUCGUCCGUGAUACCGUCCACUUCACACACACACACACACACACACGUGCGUCGCGUAGUGUGCAAGCGGGAGUCUACUUCUAGCCUAGAGAGCAGAGCCGCGGAUCCACGCCAACGCUCGCUAGCGCCACAGAGCGUAUCGAAAGGCAGGCGAGUUACUCCCGUGUAAAGCAGGGCGCGGGCGAACCUUGAGGACGAGUGGGCGCAUAUACGGCGCGCACUCACUCAAGUUUGCCUCUGCUUCGUCGCCCGUCGCGCUGCAGCAGUACGCCGCAGUUGCAUUGUCCUCUAGCUCCAGCAACAGCAGCAGCAGCAGCGGCGGCGGCGGCGGCCACAUAGAGACAAGCGUGGGAGCGGCUGGUUCACGGUUUUUGUGAUUGAAGGAGUGCGCUCUCGUGCCUGCUCUUUCGCUUUUCCGUCGCGUGUGCAUAUCCGCACCGCUGUCUUCGCCCUGUUUUGGUGUCAUCCAACAUGGCAGCUCGCGCGUCGCAGUCUUCCGGUGUGACGGCAGAGUUGCUCUACCGCGACGUCGUCUGGCCCGCCCUUUGGAAGGUUCUGCAGCUCACGUCGCCGCCGUCGAAUUCCGCUAAUGUCGGUGAAAAAGCCGGCGGUGGGGCUGCCGAGCACGUGCUCUGUGCCCGUGGCUUGCAGAGGGCUAUCACGCAGGCACUUGUCCAGCUCCUCCGUACAGCCUGCGUAGACGCCGCCACAUCCUCGAUGAAGGGCGUUCCGUCGGGUGUGAUGCAGGAAGUCGUGUCGCAUCUCCUUCUUCACCCCCAUGGCACUGAACAAACCACCGCUCCGCAAAUCGUGCCGGAGGCGCAGAUGGGGGUGUUGGACUCUGCGACAGCCUCGCCUGCCGCUGCAGCGGCUGCCGUCGAGGUGGAGCGCCUCUACCUUUUGGUGUGUGCAGCGAUACAGCUGAGUGCACAGGUGAAUGUCCCCCAGCUAGCGGCGGCGAAGAUUGCUCCAACGGCUGCAACCGGCGCCGCCAGUGAAACGACAGCAAACGCAGCGGCGGCGCCGCAGCUGCCAUGGGGCGUCGCGCAGGCUUCCAAGUCAGUGGUCGCCGGCAUCUUCGCGCUAUCGUCCUACGUCAACUCUUCGUCCACAUCCCUGCCGUCGCCGAUGGUACUAUGCCUGACUCCCAGUGUGCUGGGGCCGCCCCCCUCUCCGAUGGCAACCACGACAUCACAGCAGCAGCUGCAGCUGAAUGUGCAGCACCUCUGGUUCACAUUUCUCUGCGUGUACCUGCAACAGCUGUCGUCUCACACGCCAAAGGACACAACUGCGUACGCGCGUUUCUUUGCCGGCUGCGGUGACGAGUGCCGCAAGCGCCUCGCAACAGCCCCGGUGCUGUCCGAUGACGACGACAGCGGCGACGAUGGAGCUGUUGCCGUGGGCGCGGUAAUGCGCCAGUCUACCGCUGCAAAUGAAACAGCCGCGCUGCAGGCGUGGUCGCACGUCUCGAUCGACUUGCUCCGUGACACAAUCGCUCGAACGCGGUUUCGCCGAGCCGCGCUUCUCUUCAAGUCGUUUGUGCCCCACAUGCUAACACAGGCCCCAACGGUGACGUUCCUGCUCGCGGACGUCCUUAACGAGUUUGUGCGCAGUUGGACGGCCUUCAUUUCGCGCAUUCCAGCUGGAUGCAUGGCGGACGAUAUGGCGCGUCGACUAGCUCGCUAUGAUACCCGUGGCAUGCUCCACGAUGACGGUCCCGCCAGGCCAUCCCAGCAGUGGCAGCAGUGCGUUGACUUGCUCCGCGUCUACAGUGACCGUCUGACACGGAUUCUGGGGACAGGCACCCCGCAUGGUCACUUGGUCGCAACCACGCUGUGUGCUGUUCUCUCAGCGCUUUACGUGCUGCCGCACACUCGUGGCAGCUCCCCCUUCUCGAGCGCGGGGGAGGCGGGCGCCGUAGUCGCCGGCGCCGCAGUCGGCGCGCGUGGAAAACGUGAUGAGGAGGCAGCUGUGCUGGAAAUGGAGACCGCGCACCGGCAGCCACGCCGCCUGUCGACGUUCAGCACCGCCGGGGCAGCCGCAGCACCGUCGGUUGUUGGCGAGUCACUUAUGAGCGAGGUCGAGUGGCGGCUGCGGCACUACGCGCCGCUAGGCCAGCUCCUCGCCUCCACACGUAUUCUUGGGCUGCAGAAGGUUCACCUCUUCGCCGUUGCCACGGGGCAGCUGCGCGUCGGUCGUAGCGUGGCGCAGCAGGUCGAGCACACGCGGAUGCUGGCGCUGGCCGCGCUAUACUGUGGCGUGGCUGGGUGGGACUUGACAGUAUUGAUGUACCACUUCGCAGAGUGCCCACUAAACCCAUUCAGCGGCCCCGAGACGCCGCCGCCAGCACUGCCGAUCUCGGCGCUGGCGCGGUACACCGCUGCGGUGCAGCAGUACGUCGAGCACACCCGCGCAGAACUUAUUAUGGACAUGCCUUUUACAGAGCUGUGCGUGCACAAUGGCCACGUUGACGGGCGCGGCGGCAGGAGUAGUGGUUCGCGUUUUCGCGGCAUGCGUUGCGGCGGGGGCGUCUACGGCCAGCCACCGAAGCAGGGAUCGCUGCCGCAUUCAUCGGCAUCAGCGAUUCCCUCGCGCGGCGAGCUACACACACGUCGAUUUCUGCGCAUUGUGCACCCCGACCCGCUGCUGCUCAACUGGCGCCUUCACCUCACCGCAACGGAGGCGCUGGUGGCCACCACAGCGGUGCCGAACGGCGCCUCCGCAGCUGCCUUUGGCGGAGGAAGCAGCAGCAUUGCCGCUGCUGCGUCGAGCACCAACUCGGCUGCUGGGAAUGCGAACUCGGGUAGCGCUGUCCCAGACCUACUUCUGUCGCCGUGCUGUUUGAUGCGCGAUAUCAUUGUUUCAGGGCAGUACGCGCUGGCGGCAGAUGGUAUGCGCUACCUCGCCAAGCCGCCAACGCCUCCUGUGGCCAGCGCAGGGGACGUCAGCACUGGCGUGCAGAGUGUGAACGUGCUCUUGCUCCCGCGCCGCGCGUACCCGCAGCACAUCAGUGUUGCUUACUACGUGUCCAUCCUGCUGCGUCGGUGGCUACAGCGGUGGGAAGUCGCCGAACAGGAGCAGCAGGCUGGUCAAGCCGAAGCUGCGGCAUUGAUGCAGCUGCGGGAUGAGUCCUUCCGCGUCCUCUCCUCUUUUCUGCCGGUCUUGUCGGUGGUGCAGAGCUACAUGGCGAACCAGUCGCUGCUCGUGCGUCUCUUGACACGACUAUCAUGGAUGUGUCGAACUACAGCUGUCGCCGCCGCCGCAACAGCAGCAGCAACACCGGCGUCGGAGGCGGCCACCACCUCUUCGAACAGCGGCGUUGCACCACCGGCUCCGAACGCAGUCUUCGCCCUGGCAGAGCGGCUGCUUUUAGCCUUCGUCAUGCCAUGCAUUCGCGUGUUGCCGCCUGCACCGAUGGUUUACGACGUGAUGGAGGAUGUGCUUCGACUCUUUGCCCGCUCCAGUAUCCCCGACGCACAGGCACAUGGAGCGGUACCGUACGGCGAGAACGCGGCCAUGCCGCUGCACAUGUUCGACUGGCUCCAGGAGCUGCUGCCGUCGGUGAAGUUUGUGGCCGUGUACCGGACAAAGCAGCAGCUGCUGCAGCUCGAGGGGAGGCAAGGGUGGCCUCCGUCGCCGCUGGUGCACCCGCACGAUGCGCUGCUGCGCAGGGAACGGGAAGCGCUACUGUCGCACUCGCUAAAGCGUCUAAACGCUGAGAACCUCGAUGAGUACCGCGCGCUGCUGCGCCCCAUCUUGUAUGCCGAGCCGCUGCUCGUCGCGCAUCGCCUGUUCACACAAGCCGUCGGCUACAACAACAGCUUCCUCGAUAUCCACACACGUCUCCUGCGCGGGUUGCCCGGGGCGGUGCUGAUGCUUGUCGUGCAGCAAGGCCUCGUGCUGAUGGCUCGCUACGCGGCGGAAGAGAAGGUCACAGGUGCCAACGGGGAGUGUCGUGUGACAAUCCUGGCGACCUUUGUCGCGACGCUGUGGCGCGACAACCUCGACGCGGUGGAUGGUGUGUUGUUGGCGCGGCGCGUCGAGCUCGCCCUGCGCAGCAACAGUGGCGACGACAUACUUCUCGGCACAGAGCUGUGCAAAGCCCUCCUCGCCGUGAUGGCGCAUCGCGCGCUGGAGCACGAGGAGAAGUACAACCCCGCGCAGCUGCAGGCGCUGGCCUACACGCCUUCCACGACCUCCUUGUUCGGCAGAGGUUCCAUGACGUCCUUCCGAGUUCGCUACUGGAAGGAUACGGCCAGCAGUGCGCAGCUGCUGCUGUCGCCGGAGGACGUGUUCGUCAGGGCUCGCCAGGCGCUGCUGACUGCCCUGCAGCAACCGUGUCUGGUGCCCAUUCAGGGCGACGAAGACAGCGAGGACACUGAGGAAGAGCACACGAGGCAGUCUGUCACUGCUGCCCGCUCGGAGGUCCGUCUCCACCUCGGGCAACAGAUACUCCUGCACCUGUGCCGCCUUCAAAGCCGCAUCUACGAGCUGCAGCGCGACCUCGACGGCGGCGCAGAGGUGAUCCUCCUGUCCUCGGCGGGACGGUACAACACGAUCAAUGACAUGCUGGUAGCGAUUGAGGAGGUGUCGCCUCCGCCGACGGAGAGCCAGGUCCUAGAGUACCUGUGCGCCUGCGUGCGGCAAGUAGCCCUCCCUCACGUAGCGUCGCUCAUCGAAACGCAGCAACGCCGCAAGUUCGAGUGGGCGUCGGCUUUUUCCAGCAACGGCGGCGCCGUGCCGUCAGAUGCGGUGUACAGUGUACCGGCUCCCACCUCCUCGAGGGUGGCCGUGGCGGCUGUAGAUACACCUGAGCUGCCUCCGAUUGCGCAGCUCCUGCAGUACUUUACCGCCGCGCACUUCGAGUACAAGCCAGAUCCCUACGACACCGCCCGAUACGAGUGGCAGCAGUGCAUGGAGCAGGCCCGAAGCCUGACGAAUCAGUACUUGAAAGGCAACAGGUCUGCCGGAGCCGUGAGUGCACGUCGCGCCGCGUCCAUCGUGACGUGGUUGGACGGCGAGGCGAAGCGCAUAGAUGCGGAGGAGUCCAUGCACAUGCACCUCUACAGCUCCUCCGCCGCCGCCCGCGCAGCGCUUCUGGAACUGAUUCGGCGCGAGCUCGCUCCUCCCACGGAGCCGCUCGCCUCUGAAGCGGAUGACCGUCUCGUGGAGCUGGCUGCGUCGUACCUCCUGCCCCGCGCUGUGUUGAACCUCCGUGAGGCGGCGACGGUUGCCGCCUUCUUCACGUGGCUCUUCCAGGAAGCAACUCCGACGACCGGGUCUGCGGCGACGGCGGGGCGCGGCGAAGCUGAGCAGACGCCGUGGUCGCUGCACUGUCGCGCCGUCGACCUUGCCUUGACAUUUGUGACGGCGGCCUUUACCUACUUUGUGGGCUUUACGGAUGGCGAGUGCAAGCGCCUCGGGUGCGUACUGCAGAGCCUCCUGCAGAUACCCGCUCUCAGUGCCCAUGGUCAGCAGCUGGACGCAGCGGCGCGCCUGUGGCCAUCCCUGCUGAAGUGUAUUCAAGCGCUGUCACCUCGCACGAAGCCUAGUGGUGGUGCGCCUGCAGCUGCCGGGGAAGGGGCCCGAGUGCUCAGCGACAAGGACGUCGCAGCAGCAGCAGUAGCCGGCACAAGCCCCACAUGCGAGGCUGGGGCUGCAGCGCUCGGGGGCAGACCUGCUGUGAGCAGCGGCGGCAUCCGCACUGUGAGUACCGCCGUAUUUGAAGGUUUCCUUCACUCUGCGCACGCUAGUCUCAUUAACGGCAAUGACGCAAGCAGCAGCGAGCGCGCCGGUCCCGCGUCCCUGCUGAACUUGGCAAUGGCGCGGGGAAUCGUGGCGUCGCCGGCGCAGUCGAAUGAGUUGCAGCCAGCAGCCUCCACUGCUGCCGAUGCUGCGGCUGGCACCCUCUCUGCCGUCCCGUUGCAGCUAGAGGCGUACCUCAGCAGGGCGAUGAUCCAGCUGCUCACUCACGAGCAGGACGUGCCCGCCUACGCCCACCGCAACCUCUUUCUCGUCCUUGAGCAUCUUGACAAGAGCACCUUCCCUGCGACCUUGUGCGCCGUGGACUUGCUCACCCGCGCCGUCGAGCCGCACGCGUCGAAGACGAAGUCGUACUACGCCUUGGCCUCGGCGGUGCUGAAGCUGCUGCGUGCAAAUCGCCGCCACCGCCGCGAGCUUCAGCACGCCAUCGCGGCACUCCGUCACGGAGACGAAGGUGUUGCCCCCGCUGCUCUGCAGGCGGCGCGGGGUGAAGACGGUAGUGCGCUGCCGCAGGUGCGUGCAGCCGCCACGGCCUGUCACGGGCGGUGGCGUCUCGACGAGCACUACAUGAGGCAGCUGCUGCAGAACGAGGUGGCGGCACUGCUCGAAGAUGCACAGGUACGCCAUCGGGUCGACGACGGCAGUGGCGAGGACGAAGAAUACGAGGAAGGCACCGACGACAACGAGGCGGAGAACGACGUCGCCGACGGCAUAAGUUGUUCGAGCGGCGAUGGGCAAGGCGAUAAUGAAGAGGAAGUGUGUGACGAUUUGUCUGCUGCAACCACUGCACAAGAUAGUGGGGAAGAGGAUGAGGAGAUCGACGACAGCGGAGGCGGCGAGGACGCGUCGGGCUCAGGCUCCGAAGAUGAUGACGAAGAAGAGCGCGACGACGGGAGCGAUGAAGACGAGUCUGCUGGCAGUGGCGACGGCGAUGAUGCGUCGCCGGCAGCGCGCAAACGUCGCCUUGAGGAAUGAUAAGGUGUGCGCGCGUGUGUGUACGUGUGCGGGCUCGUCUCGUUGUUGACAUACGGUGUAUGGAAUCUUG